CCGACGGUGAGGGGCGAAAGCUGGGGGCACGAACCGGAUUAGAUACCCGGGUAGUCCCAGCCGUAAACGAUGCUCGCUAGGUGUCUGGGAUGGUGCGACCGUUUCAGGUGCCGCAGGGAAGCCGUGGAGCGAGCCACCUGGGAAGUACGGCCGCAAGGCUGAAGCUUAAAGGAAUUGGCGGGGGAGCACUACAACGGGUGGAGCCUGCGGUUUAAUUGGACUCAACGCCGGAAAACUCACCUGGGGC
Molecule: ribosomal RNA, 247 nt
Filed under: uncultured archaeon
Lineage: Archaea
Description: partial 16S ribosomal RNA
Rfam family: Archaeal small subunit ribosomal RNA
Source: RNAcentral